This 710-nucleotide unclassified non-coding RNA is filed under the name Hevea brasiliensis (rubber tree). Lineage: Eukaryota; Viridiplantae; Streptophyta; Magnoliopsida; Malpighiales; Euphorbiaceae. The record is from RNAcentral.
CUUCUCCCCACCUCAAACCCUCCCACUCCCCCGCCGCCGCCGCCGUUUCCUCCUCCGACCGGCGAGGCUGACGGCCAUGGCGUCCGAGGACCCGCGCAUCGCCAAGAUCGCCUCCACCAUCCGCGUCAUCCCCGACUUCCCCAAGCCGGGGAUCAUGUUUCAGGAUAUCACCACUAUGCUUCUUGAUCCGAAGGCGUUCCAGGAUACUAUUGAUUUGUUUGUUGAGAGAUAUAAAGGGAAAGGGAUCACUGUUGUUGCAGGGAUUGAAGCAAGAGGCUUCAUAUUUGGCCCUCCAAUUGCCCUGGCUAUUGGAGCAAAGUUUGUCCCCAUGAGGAAGCCAAAGAAGUUGCCUGGUGAAGUUAUUUCUGAAGAGUAUUCUUUAGAAUAUGGCACAGACAUAAUGGAGAUGCAUGUAGGAGCUGUCCAGCCAGGAGAAAAAACCCUCGUCAUUGAUGACCUUAUUGCCACUGGUGGGACCUUGGCUGCAGCAGUGAGGUUACUCGAACGUGUCGGUGCUGAAGUGGUUGAAUGUGCUUGUGUUAUCGAAUUGGCAGAACUAAAGGGUCGGGAGAAAUUAGGAGAGAGGCCUGUCUUUGUUCUUAUCAAAGCUCUUUGAUCGAGGCUUGAGACAGUUGGAAUCUUGGAGUUCUAAAUGAUUCAUCCAGAGGUUGAGCGUUCUGAACUGAGGAAUUUGUUUGAAUGGGUAUCUC